AAUGAUCAGCCACACUGGAACUGACACACGGUCUAGACUCCUACGGGAGGCAGCAGUGAGGAAUUUUGCGCAAUGGGGGAAACCCUGACGCAGCAACGCCGCGUGAGUGAUGAAGGCUUUCGGGUCGUAAAGCUCUGUCAAGUGGGAAGAAACCACGAGGUGAUAAUAUCGCUUUGUGUUGACGGUACCACUGAAGGAAGCACCGGCUAACUCCGUGCCAGCAGCCGCGGUAAUACGGGGGGUGCAAGCGUUAUUCGGAAUCAUUGGGCGUAAAGGGCGCGUAGGCGGUUUGUUAAGUCAGAUGUGAAAGCCCGGGGCUCAACCCCGGAAGUGCAUUUGAUACUGGCGGACUUGAGUAUGGGAGAGGGAAGUGGAAUUCCUGGUGUAGAGGUGAAAUUCGUAGAUAUCAGGAGGAACACCGGUGGCGAAGGGGACUUCCUGGACCAAUACUGACGCUGAGGCGCGAAGGCGUGGGUAGCAAACAGGAUUAGAUACCCUGGUAGUCCACGCAGUAAACGGUGAUCACUAGGUGUAGCGGGUAUUGACCCCUGCUGUGCCGCAGUUAACGCAUUAAGUGAUCCGCCUGGGGAGUACGGCCGCAAGGUUAAAACUCAAAGGAAUCGACGGGGGCCCGCACAAGCGGUGGAGCAUGUGGUUUAAUUCGACGCAACGCGAAGAACCUUACCUGGGUUUGACAUCUCGGGGAUUUUUUGGAAACAAGAAAGUGCCCUUCGGGGAGCCCGAAGACAGGUGCUGCAUGGCUGUCGUCAGCUCGUGUCGUGAGAUGUUGGGUUAAGUCCCGUAACGAGCGCAACCCUUAUCUUUAGUUACCAUCACUUCGGGUGGGGACUCUAAAGAUACUGCCCCGGUCAACGGGGAGGAAGGUGGGGAUGACGUCAAGUCCUCAUGGCCUUUAUGCCCAGGGCUACACACGUGCUACAAUGGGCGAUACAAAGGGUAGCGAGCCUGCGAAGGUGAGCCAAUCCCAAAAAGUCGUUCUUAGUUCGGAUUGGAGUCUGCAACUCGACUCCAUGAAGCUGGAACCGCUAGUAAUCGCGGAUCAGCACGCCGCGGUGAAUACGUUCCCGGGCCUUGUACACACCGCCCGUCACACCAUGAGAGUUGGUUGUACCAGAAGUUGUUGGGCUAACCCGCAAGGGAGGCAGGCACCUAAGGUAUGGCUGAUGAUUGGGGUGAAGUCGUAACAAGGUA
This 1212-nucleotide ribosomal RNA is filed under the name metagenome. Its description in RNAcentral is "bacterial SSU rRNA". It matches the Rfam family "Bacterial small subunit ribosomal RNA", at positions 299 to 1498 of the family's 1533-position model. The record is from RNAcentral.